This 200-nucleotide unclassified non-coding RNA is filed under the name Umbelopsis sp. RNAcentral's name for it is "partial internal transcribed spacer 2". Lineage: Eukaryota; Fungi; Mucoromycota; Umbelopsidomycetes; Umbelopsidales; Umbelopsidaceae. The record is from RNAcentral.
UUAAGUUCAGCGGGUAGCCCUACCUGAUUUCAGAUCAAAGUUGUAUUAGAGUUUUCUGUAUAUCAAGACUGCAUGGACCAAAGUAAAGGUAGCCAAAGAUUUGACAAACAAGUGCCAAAACUAUUAGGCCAAACUACUGUAGCAGUCCACAGUCAAGAGCUACAUUUUAGGAGGGCCAAUCAGUAACAAUUGGCGCAUCC